CCUGGCUCAGGAUGAACGCUAGCGGCAGGCUAACACAUGCAAGUCGAGGGGCAUCGGGAGUAGCAAUACUUGCCGGCGACCGGCGCAAGGGUGCGUAACGCGUGAGCAACAUGCCCGUAUCAGGGGGAUAAUCCAUGGAAACGUGGUCUAAUACCCCAUAGUAAUUAUGUAAGGCAUCUUAUAUAAUUUAAAGCUUUGGUGGAUACGGAUUGGCUCGCGUGACAUUAGCUGGAUGGUAAGGUAACGGCUUACCAUGGCUACGAUGUCUAGGGGUUCUGAGAGGAAGGUCCCCCACACUGGAACUGAGACACGGUCCAGACUCCUACGGGAGGCAGCAGUGAGGAAUAUUGGACAAUGGAUGGAAAUCUGAUCCAGCCAUGCCGCGUGCCAGGAAGACGGCCCUAUGGGUUGUAAACUGCUUUUGUAUGGGAGCAAUAAGGGCUACGUGUAGUCCGAUGAGAGUACCAUACGAAUAAGCACCGGCUAACUCCGUGCCAGCCGCUGC
RNAcentral lists this ribosomal RNA (505 nucleotides) under uncultured bacterium. RNAcentral's name for it is "bacterial SSU rRNA". It matches the Rfam family "Bacterial small subunit ribosomal RNA", at positions 18 to 518 of the family's 1533-position model. The record is from RNAcentral.